AGGGAAAGCUGGUGGCAGGCCUAACACAUGCAAGUCGAACGGUAACAGGAAGAAGCUUGCUUCUUUGCUGACGAGUGGCGGACGGGUGAGUAAUGUCUGGGAAACUGCCUGAUGGAGGGGGAUAACUACUGGAAACGGUAGCUAAUACCGCAUAACGUCGCAAGACCAAAGAGGGGGACCUUCGGGCCUCUUGCCAUCGGAUGUGCCCAGAUGGGAUUAGCUAGUAGGUGGGGUAACGGCUCACCUAGGCGACGAUCCCUAGCUGGUCUGAGAGGAUGACCAGCCACACUGGAACUGAGACACGGUCCAGACUCCUACGGGAGGCAGCAGUGGGGAAUAUUGCACAAUGGGCGCAAGCCUGAUGCAGCCAUGCCGCGUGUAUGAAGAAGGCCUUCGGGUUGUAAAGUACUUUCAGCGGGGAGGAAGGGAGUAAAGUUAAUACCUUUACUCAUUGACGUUACCCGCAGAAGAAGCACCGGCUAACUCCGUG
RNAcentral lists this ribosomal RNA (490 nucleotides) under uncultured bacterium. RNAcentral describes it as "partial 16S ribosomal RNA". It matches the Rfam family "Bacterial small subunit ribosomal RNA", at positions 31 to 507 of the family's 1533-position model. The record is from RNAcentral.